This 301-nucleotide ribosomal RNA is filed under the name uncultured bacterium. RNAcentral's name for it is "partial 16S ribosomal RNA". It matches the Rfam family "Bacterial small subunit ribosomal RNA", at positions 509 to 807 of the family's 1533-position model. The record is from RNAcentral.
CAGCCGCCGCGGGAAUACAGAGGAUGCAAGCGUUAUCCGGAAUGAUUGGGCGUAAAGCGUCUGUAGGUGGUGGUUUAAGUCCGUUGUGAAAGCCCUGGGCUCAACCUGGGAAUUGCAGUGGAUACUGGAUCACUAGAGUGUGGUAGAGGAUAGUGGAAUUUCCGGUGUAGCAGUGAAAUGCGUAGAGAUCGGAAGGAACAUCUGUGGCGAAGGCGACUAUCUGGGCCAACACUGACACUGAGGCACGAAAGCGUGGGGAGCAAACAGGAUUAGAUACCCCCGUAGUCCCUGUCUCUUAUAC